Molecule: small nuclear RNA, 126 nt
Organism: Penicillium freii
Lineage: Eukaryota; Fungi; Ascomycota; Eurotiomycetes; Eurotiales; Aspergillaceae
Rfam family: U4 spliceosomal RNA
About the family: U4 small nuclear RNA (U4 snRNA) is a component of the major U2-dependent spliceosome. The structure of U4 snRNA from yeast and human has been reported. U4 snRNA presents a k-turn RNA motif in the 5p-SL related to recognition of Snu13 protein.
Source: Rfam
AUCCUAGUGCAAGGGUCUUACACGAAUCAAUGAGGAUUUUCCGAGAUCGUGUUUGCUAGUCAAACCCAUUGACUACUUCAAGUGAGCUUAAUCGCUUGGGAAUUUUUGAAGCUACCUCUCUCGAGU